UGUCUGUGAUGAUUUAAACAGAUGACGAGUCCGAUGUAAUCCAUUCUAUAAAACCAAUCGAGGCAUUUGUCUGAGAGAA
This 79-nucleotide small nucleolar RNA is filed under the name Triticum dicoccoides. RNAcentral describes it as "snoRNA SNOR75". It matches the Rfam family "Plant small nucleolar RNA SNOR75". Rfam says of the family: U15 is a member of the C/D class of snoRNA which contain the C (UGAUGA) and D (CUGA) box motifs. Lineage: Eukaryota; Viridiplantae; Streptophyta; Magnoliopsida; Poales; Poaceae. The record is from RNAcentral.